UACGUAGGGUGCGAGCGUUGUCCGGAAUUAUUGGGCGUAAAGAGCUCGUAGGCGGCUUGUCGCGUCGGAUGUGAAAGCCCGGGGCUCAACUCCGGAUCUGCGGUGGGUACGGGCAGACUAGAGUGCAGUAGGGGAGACUGGAAUUCCUGGUGUAGCGGUGAAAUGCGCAGAUAUCAGGAGGAACACCGAUGGCGAAGGCAGGUCUCUGGGCUGUAACUGACGCUGAGGCGCGAAAGCUAGGGGAGCAAACAGG
RNAcentral lists this ribosomal RNA (253 nucleotides) under uncultured bacterium. RNAcentral describes it as "partial 16S ribosomal RNA". It matches the Rfam family "Bacterial small subunit ribosomal RNA", at positions 524 to 776 of the family's 1533-position model. The record is from RNAcentral.